This is a long non-coding RNA of Asparagus officinalis (garden asparagus), 766 nucleotides long. RefSeq lists it as uncharacterized. The transcript has 4 exons. Lineage: Eukaryota; Viridiplantae; Streptophyta; Magnoliopsida; Asparagales; Asparagaceae. The record is from RefSeq and is a predicted model, not a curated record.
UGAAACAGGCCCGUUCAGUGUUUGCGCGAUGCCCUUUGGCAAGAAUUAGGCCAAUCUGAAAUGUAUUUGCACUGCAAAUACUCUUUCUUGAAUCGGAUCGGAUGUUAACCGCUUAGCCCAAUAUGAAAAUGUCACUGAGAAGAAUAUAGGAUAGCCGAAGCCAUACCCGAAAACCCACUUAGCCCUCGACGGAGCAAAACGAUGCGCUCCGUCUCCCCCACACUCCCAAAUCUUUUUCUCAGGGCCGUAGGUAACUAUUAAAAUCCCCACCACCCAAGUUUUCUCCACCAAUUUGAGAUAUUUAGGUAUUCCACGAUGAUUGCAUCUAGGGUUCUUGAAAGCACGCUGCUUUCUGUUGUUAAAUCACCGCCAUCAUCGUCAGCUGAUGCUUCAGCUACUUUGAGUGCAGCUAGCUGAAACCUAUUGUUUAUGGUAGUGGUUGGAAGGGCUGUGUAUCAAAUCUUGGGAUGAUCUUAAUAAGCUAUGGUAUGCUCUUUUGAAGGAAAAGAACAUGUUGAUGUCCAAGGGUCAGAUGCUUCAUUCACAUAAUCUUUGUUUUCCUAACCCAGAUCAUGUUCCAAAGCGAAGUUGAAGUGAAUAAGAUGGCUCUGUACAAGAAGAUGACUACUGGAUGCAGGUAAGGAAAUCAGUGAGCCGGAUUAAGUAUGUGCUAAUUGAGAGAGCAAUUGCUGAGCCUGAUCCUAGGCAAUCUGCUGAGAGAAGAGGACGAUCACUGCCCUAUAAUAUCCGCAUCGCGUAAUAUCUG